AAAUUGAAGAGUUUGAUCAUGGCUCAGAUUGAACGCUGGCGGCAGGCCUAACACAUGCAAGUCGAACGGUAACAGGAAGCAGCUUGCUGCUUCGCUGACGAGUGGCGGACGGGUGAGUAAUGUCUGGGAAACUGCCUGAUGGAGGGGGAUAACUACUGGAAACGGUAGCUAAUACCGCAUAAUGUCGCAAGACCAAAGAGGGGGACCUUCGGGCCUCUUGCCAUCGGAUGUGCCCAGAUGGGAUUAGCUUGUUGGUGGGGUAACGGCUCA
This 270-nucleotide ribosomal RNA is filed under the name Escherichia coli. Its description in RNAcentral is "partial 16S ribosomal RNA". It matches the Rfam family "Bacterial small subunit ribosomal RNA", at positions 1 to 267 of the family's 1533-position model. The record is from RNAcentral. RNAcentral also lists the same sequence under 1 other name. Lineage: Bacteria; Pseudomonadati; Pseudomonadota; Gammaproteobacteria; Enterobacterales; Enterobacteriaceae.